RNAcentral lists this ribosomal RNA (68 nucleotides) under Aquibacillus koreensis. Its description in RNAcentral is "partial 23S ribosomal RNA". Lineage: Bacteria; Bacillati; Bacillota; Bacilli; Caryophanales; Bacillaceae. The record is from RNAcentral.
AAGAAGCGAGGUGAUCAGUGAGCUAGCAACUGGGAGCUGAAACUAGACUGUAAUAUAGUUAAGUGAAG